This is a long non-coding RNA of Larimichthys crocea (large yellow croaker), 814 nucleotides long. RefSeq lists it as uncharacterized. The transcript has 3 exons. Lineage: Eukaryota; Metazoa; Chordata; Actinopteri; Sciaenidae. The record is from RefSeq and is a predicted model, not a curated record.
CAUUCUGACGACAAACGCACUGUUGCAGGUAAAACACGUCCAACACCGAUCAGCCAUAACAGAACAGCCUUGACCUGUCGAGGCCUCCUCAGACCUCUGAAGGUGUGCUGUGGUAUCUGGCACCAAGACAUUGGCAGCAGAUCCUUGAAGAUCCUUGAAGUCCUGGAAGGUUGCAUGGAUCGGACUUGUUUGUCCAGCACGUCCCACAGUCGACACCUUGAACUGGUUGUUAUGUUCCUCAAACAUUCCGGAACCAUGUUGAACGAGGCCACAUGGUCUACAACAACGCUUAGGUAAACCUGAUCCAGACCAGAUCACCUGGACCAAACACAACAGACUGUGGUGGACUGUGUGUUCUGACAGCUUUCUAUCAGAACCAGCAUGAACUUCUUCAGCAGUUUGAGCUACAGUAGCUCGUCGGUUCGGCUUCUCUGCCCAAACUUUGCUUUGGCUUUUAUGUUCUGACCCGGCCAUCACAGUUUGGUUCUGGUCCUGAAGCUGCCUGGUGUAUCCUGACAGUGUCGUGGCUGAUCGGUGCAGAUGUUUGCAUGAAUUCAUCCAUCAGUGGACUGACUCCUGUGGAAUGAUUGACUCUGAUUAAACCAAGAGUUUAAUCAGACUCUGACUCUGAUAUUACUGAUGGAGUCUACCUGGCUGGUUUCCGUCGAAGUUUCCAUCUGUGGAGGAGGACGUCCUACAGGAGGACACGGCAGUCCAGCACCUCCUGCUCACCCCCUACGAGGAGGUGGCUUUGUACCAGCGCCCCCCGCAGGAGAACCACCGCCUCAUCGUCCUCGUCGGUGAGAGAGGGUCC